GCGCCGGUGGUGUAAGGCGAACAUCGCUGCCCGGAAAGCAGAAGGUGCUGGUUCGGGUCCCGCCUGGUGCA
Heligmosomoides polygyrus is the source of this 71-nucleotide non-coding RNA. NCBI's taxonomy places the organism in Eukaryota, Metazoa, Nematoda, Chromadorea, Rhabditida, Heligmosomidae. The record is from Rfam.